UACGUAGGUGACAAGCGUUGUCCGGAUUUACUGGGCGUAAAGAGCGCGCAGGCGGUCGUUCAAGUCGAGUGUGAAAGCCCCCGGCUCAACUGGGGAGGGUCAUUCGAUACUGAUCGACUCGAAGGCAGGAGAGGAUAGUGGAAUUCCCGGUGUAGUGGUGAAAUGCGUAGAUAUCGGGAGGAACACCAGUGGCGAAGGCGACUACCUGGCCUGUUCUUGACGCUGAGGCGCGAAAGCUAGGGGAGCAAACGGG
This 253-nucleotide ribosomal RNA is filed under the name uncultured bacterium. Its description in RNAcentral is "partial 16S ribosomal RNA". It matches the Rfam family "Bacterial small subunit ribosomal RNA", at positions 524 to 776 of the family's 1533-position model. The record is from RNAcentral.